RNAcentral lists this ribosomal RNA (468 nucleotides) under uncultured bacterium. RNAcentral describes it as "partial 16S ribosomal RNA". It matches the Rfam family "Bacterial small subunit ribosomal RNA", at positions 28 to 506 of the family's 1533-position model. The record is from RNAcentral.
GAUGAACGCUGGCGGCGCGCCUAACACAUGCAAGUCGAACGGUUAAAGCACCUUUUAGGUGUGUAUAAAGUGGCGAACGGCUGAGUAACACGUGGGCAACCUGCCCUCCUCUUGGGGAUAGCCUCGGGAAACCGAGGAUAAUACCCGAUACUUCAAUGUGGCCGCAUGACGACAUUGAGAAAGCUUUUGCGGAGAAGGAUGGGCCCGCGGCCUGUUAGCUUGUUGGUGGGGUAGAGGCCUACCAAGGCAAUGAUGGGUAGCUGGGUUGAGAGACCGACCAGCCAGAUUGGGACUGAGACACGGCCCAGACUCCUACGGGAGGCAGCAGUGGGGAAUCUUGCACAAUGGGCGAAAGCCUGAUGCAGCGACGCCGCGUGCGGGACGAAGGCCUUCGGGUUGUAAACCGCUUUCAGCAGGGACGAGGCGAUAAGUGACGGUACCUGCAGAAGAAGCCCCGGCUAACUACGU